UACGGGGGGGGCAAGCGUUGUUCGGAAUUACUGGGCGUAAAGGGCGCGUAGGCGGCCUGCUAAGUCGGACGUGAAAUCCCUCGGCUCAACCGGGGAACUGCGUCCGAUACUGGCGAGGCUUGAAUCCGGGAGAGGGAUGUGGAAUUCCAGGUGUAGCGGUGAAAUGCGUAGAUAUCUGGAGGAGCACCAGUGGCGAAGGCGGCUCACUGGCCCGGUACUGACGCUGAGGUGCGAAAGCGUGGGGAGCAAACAGG
RNAcentral lists this ribosomal RNA (254 nucleotides) under uncultured bacterium. Its description in RNAcentral is "partial 16S ribosomal RNA". It matches the Rfam family "Bacterial small subunit ribosomal RNA", at positions 524 to 776 of the family's 1533-position model. The record is from RNAcentral.